Molecule: ribosomal RNA, 468 nt
Filed under: uncultured bacterium
Lineage: Bacteria
Description: partial 16S ribosomal RNA
Rfam family: Bacterial small subunit ribosomal RNA
Source: RNAcentral
GACGAACGCUGGCGGCGUGCUUAACACAUGCAAGUCGAACGGAAAGGCCCUGCUUUUGUGGGGUGCUCGAGUGGCGAACGGGUGAGUAACACGUGAGUAACCUGCCCUUGACUUUGGGAUAACUUCAGGAAACCGGGGCUAAUACCGGAUAGGAGCUCCUGCUGCAUGGUGGGGGUUGGAAAGUUUCGGCGGUUGGGGAUGGACUCGCGGCUUAUCAGCUUGUUGGUGGGGUAGUGGCUUACCAAGGCUUUGACGGGUAGCCGGCCUGAGAGGGUGACCGGCCACAUUGGGACUGAGAUACGACCCAGACUCCUACUGGAGGCAGCAGUGCAGAAUAUUACACAAUGGGCGGAAGCCUGAUGCAGCAACGCCGCGUGCGGGAUGACGGCCUUCGGGUUGUAAACCGCUUUCGCCUGUGACGAAGCGUGAGUGACGGUAAUGGGUAAAGAAGCACCGGCUAACUACGUG